GCGACAUUAGCUCAGUUGCUAGAGCGAUACCUUGCCAAGGUAUAGGUCAUCGGUUCGAACCCGAUAUGUCGCUCCA
Molecule: transfer RNA, 76 nt
Filed under: Shewanella sp.
Lineage: Bacteria; Pseudomonadati; Pseudomonadota; Gammaproteobacteria; Alteromonadales; Shewanellaceae
Description: tRNA-Gly
Rfam family: tRNA
About the family: Transfer RNA (tRNA) molecules are approximately 80 nucleotides in length. Their secondary structure includes four short double-helical elements and three loops (D, anti-codon, and T loops). Further hydrogen bonds mediate the characteristic L-shaped molecular structure. tRNAs have two regions of fundamental functional importance: the anti-codon, which is responsible for specific mRNA codon recognition, and the 3' end, to which the tRNAs corresponding amino acid is attached (by aminoacyl-tRNA synthetases). tRNAs cope with the degeneracy of the genetic code in two manners: having more than one tRNA (with a specific anti-codon) for a particular amino acid; and 'wobble' base-pairing, i.e. permitting non-standard base-pairing at the 3rd anti-codon position.
Source: RNAcentral